CAUCAGUCACAUUUCUCAAUAAUUGUUUAAUUUUUAUUAUAUCUUUACUCUGUAUGGUGUUAUUAAUUAGAUUAAGACAAAUAUAGUAUUAAAAUGAUUUUAAAAAGGAGUUAAUUGUCAACAUCCCUGAUGGAAGACGUUCCCACAUGAUAUGUAAGUGCAUCCGCCAUCCUGGAUGCAGCAGAAGUAGGGGAGGAGAUAGGCUAGAGGACCUGUGAGAAAGCAUGGAUGGCUGUGGUCCUCCUGUUAGGUUCGUAUGUCCCAGGAGCAUGAUACCAAUAUUGAUGGAAUUCCACUGUCGUAACGGUAUGAACCAUCAAUUAUGGGAUUCUCCUUCCCUAUCUUUGCCUCCCAUCUCCAGUGGUACAUCAGAUUCAUAGAUACCAACUGCACAACCUAUAGAACCAACAGGACAGACAAUGGCCAAACCAUCCACAACAGAGUGUCUCACGUUUACUACUAUAUCCCCCCUCACCAUCAUCAAUGCCCGCAAUGGCAACACUUGAUACCAGUAGACUGGAAGAAAUACCAGAACUAACUGGCACUCCUGACCGGGAGUUAUGGGGAAAACAUCAGAGAAAGUAUAGCCCGGAUUGGACAGACCGUGCAAAUAAUUUACAUAAGACCACUCGCCCAGAUGUCACCAGGAUUUGGAAACCUUCAAUUUAAUUGUUUCUCGAGGGGGGGUGUUUGAUCGAGGAAAACAACCAUCAAUACUGGUCAGCUAUAGGCUCAGGAAGAGCACAUUUUUUCUUCCUGCUAGGGUCUUCCAUAGAUAAGCAUGGAUACCUGCCGACCAUGGAAUCAGGGAGAGCAUGCCUUUUCUAAUCAGGAUGAACGUGUGAUUCUGAAAAAUAAAAUAAAAUAAAUAUAGUCUUUUUUCCUAAAUAAUAAUUUUAUAUAUAUACACAGGGGUUUCCAAAGUCCACCGACAAGCUUCCAGGGCGGGUUCUACUCAUGAAAAUAAAUAAUGUCUUAUGAACAUAGUGUCGGAAAUGCAUGUUUAAUGAGUCAAUAGCUUUUCUAAAAUGAAACUAUUUUAGUA
RNAcentral lists this long non-coding RNA (1045 nucleotides) under Androctonus crassicauda. The record is from RNAcentral. Lineage: Eukaryota; Metazoa; Arthropoda; Arachnida; Scorpiones; Buthidae.